AUGGUAGGGAUCAAACUUAAACAAGUUAUCCUGUGCAGGAAAGCUUCUGCGGCCCCUGGAAAAGACCUGAGAGUUCUGUACAGUUGUGAUAAUGGGGAUAAGCAAGGGUUGCUGUGGGAAGCAGAGUGCACACCUCUGGAGGGAAGGAGGAGAGACACUGCCUCCAGGACCUGCCCCUGGGGUCGAGCUGAGAGGGGUGAAAGUUUCCAGGCAGAGGGAGCAAGAAAUAGGAGAGACAGACAACAACCAGUUUCCCAAAGAGGCCAGUUUCAAUCUUCAAUCAGUAUGAUAGGCAUAUAUUUUGAAAACAAAAUGGAUUUUCCUUCAUUUGUAUACAGCAACAUGAUUUAAACAGCUCCUUAUGUCAGCAUUAGGUUAUUUCUAGUUAACCGUACUAAGUAUUCUUUACAAUGAUAUUUUAUGUUUUACUGUCCUUUGAAAAGUAUGAAUUUUCUGCAGUUAAUUUCAUCCACUCAACUCUUGAGAGAAAACUGAAAUAAAAGGGCCAAGGAAAAAGUAACACAUAACGUUUGCUUUAGUCUCCAUUUCUUUUGUCUUUUUUUUUUUAAAGUUGGAGUCUCACUCUGUUGCCCAGGCUGGAGUGCAGUGGAGCAAUUUCAGCUCACUGAAGCCUCUGCCUCCUGGGUUUAAGCAAGUCAACUGCCUCAGUCUCCCAAGUAGCUGGGAUUAUAGGCACUUGCAACCACAGUUGGCUAAUUUUUGUAUUUUUAAUAGAGAUGGAGUUUCAUCAUAUUGGCCAGGCUGGUCUUGAACUCCCAACCUCAGGUGAUGUGCCUGCCUCAGUCUCCCAAAGUGCUAGGAUUAUAGGUGUGAGCCACCAUGUCUGGCCUCCAUCUCCAUUUUCAACACAUAUGUUCUCCCAAACAGAAAAGAACUUUUGUAUAGAGGAUGGAGUAUGAAACUUCUAAAAUGUGCAGACACAUAUUUUUAAAUACAAUUCAUGUUAAUAAAGGAGUAACUGACUCUUGCCAAAUAUUUCAUGAGUCUUAGCAACAAUUUUAAAUCAUUUCUCAAAUUCUAAACUUACUUCAGCAUGA
RNAcentral lists this long non-coding RNA (1058 nucleotides) under Callithrix jacchus (white-tufted-ear marmoset). RNAcentral describes it as "lncRNA (ENSCJAG00000081950.1)". The record is from RNAcentral. Lineage: Eukaryota; Metazoa; Chordata; Mammalia; Primates; Cebidae.